Molecule: long non-coding RNA, 480 nt
Organism: Stomoxys calcitrans (stable fly)
Lineage: Eukaryota; Metazoa; Arthropoda; Insecta; Diptera; Muscidae
Exons: 2
Source: RefSeq, a predicted model, not a curated record
GAACACCUUCGAUCAUUCUAUUAAAAUUUAUUGACAACGGAGCUGAAAGCGGUAAAAUCAUUCAUUCAACAUGAAAUCGUUAAUAGUAAUUACACUUUGUCUGAGUCUCUUGCUGAUGAUAUUCUGCACAGUGGCAUCACCUGCGAAAGUAACCGAAGGCGAUAUACCAAAAACUUCAAUGCUCACAUAUAAAAAAGAUGGGCUUAAAAGUUCUUCAAAAUUAUUUAGAAAUUCAAUAAUGAGAAAAUCAAUUGCCGCUAAAUCAAAGCUGGGAGUAGCAACAGCCUCGAAAGGAACAAAGAAAAUCUCUAAACAAAUGUCGAAAAAUGUACAUCAAAUUAUAGACAGUCAAGAGAAUCUUAAGAGAUUGUUAAAAUCAGUUAUUUGAGAGAAGUUGACCUUUAAGGGUUCCAUGGUCAUUCUAUUAUGGAACAUUAACCGAAAUCAUUCAAUAAAUGACGGCAGAUACUGCAAUUCUUA